AUGGUGUCAUGGCGGAACGACACAGACUGCUGCAGGUGGGAAGGGAUCACCUGCAGCCCCAAUAGGACGGUCACUGAUGUUGAGCUGGCUUCUCGAGGUCUCGAGGGGUCCAUCUCGCCGUUCCUUGGCAACCUCACUGGCCUGUUACGUCUCAACCUGUCGCGCAACUCACUGUCCGGUAGCUUGCCACUGGAAUUGGUGUCAUCCAGCAGCAUCAUUGUCCUUGACGUCAGUUUCAACCGCCUGACUGGAGCUCUGCACGAACUGUCAUCUUCAACCCCUGCCCGGCCUCUGCAGGUACUGAAUAUCUCGAGCAACUUACUUGCAGGACCAUUUCCAUCCACCAUAUGGAAGACAAUGGAUAACCUGAUAACACUCAAUGCCAGCAAUAACAGCUUUACUGGGGCGAUACCAACUUAUUUCUGCAAUAGCUCACCAUACUUCACAGUGCUUGACCUCUGUUUCAACAAAUUUAGUGGCAGCAUUCCCCCAGGGCUUGGUGAAUGCUCCAUGCUGAGAGUGAUCAAGGCCGGCUACAACAAUCUCAGUGGAACACUCCCAGAUGAACUCUUCAAUGCAACCUCAUUGGAAUACCUCUCUUUUCCUAACAAUAAUUUACACGGUGUUAUUGAUAGUGCACGCAUAAUCAGCCUCAUAAAUCUCCGUACCCUUGAUCUUGGAUGGAAUAACUUCAAUGGCAGGAUUCCAGAUUCUAUAGGUCAGCUCAAGAGAUUGGAGGAGUUCCAUUUGCACUACAACAACCUGUCAGGGGAACUGCCAUCGACUCUGAGCAACUGCACAAAUCUUGUAAGAAUUGGCCUCAGGAGCAACAAAUUCAGUGGAGAACUUAUCAAUGUCAAUUUCUCCAACCUGCCCAAUCUGAAAACUUUAGAUCUUUGGUCCAACUUCUUCACUGGUACAGUUCCAGAAAGCAUGUACUCGUGCAGUAAUCUGACUGCGCUGCGGCUAUCUAGAAACAACUUACACGGGCAGCUCUCAUCGAGAAUAGGCAAUCUGAAGUAUCUGUCCUUCUUGUCACUUGGUGGAAACAAUUUCACAAACAUCACAAAUGCACUUCAGAUCCUUAAGAGCAGCAAGAAUCUUAGCAGCCUGCUUAUUGCGCACAACUUCAGAGGAGAGCUCAUGCCACAGGAUGACAGAAUUGAUGGCUUUGAGAAUCUUCAGGUUUUGGACAUGGAUGGUUGCCAAUUAUCUGGAAAUAUACCUCUAUGGAUAUCAAGGGUCACAAAUUUGGAGGUGUUAAUUUUAAGAAGCAAUCAACUAACCGGACCAAUGCCAGGCUGGAUCAAUUCCCUAAACCAUCUCUCCUAUAUAGAUGUGUCAAACAACAACCUUAAAGGAGAAAUCCCAUUAGCCUUGAUGGAGAUGCCAGUGCUAAAAUCAACUGACAACUCAAAUCAUUUGGAUCCAUGGGUCUUCAACCUGCCUGUUUAUUCUGGGCCGACGCUUCAAUACCGUGUGUUUACAUCUUUCCCAAAAGCAUUGAAUCUAAGCAACAACAACUUCACAGGUGUGAUUCCCCCACUGAUUGACCAGUUAAAAAAGCUUGGUGUACUUGAUUUCAGCUUCAACAAGUUAUCAGGACAGAUCCCCCAAUCGAUUUGCAACCUCACAAAGUUGCGGGUGCUAGACUUAUCCAGCAACAACCUCAUAGGUGCAAUCCCAGCUGCAUUGAACAGCCUGCACUUCCUUGCUGCAUUUAACAUUUCUGACAAUGAUCUAGAAGGUCCUAUUCCAUCUGGAGGCCAGUUCAACACAUUUGAGACUUCUAGUUUUGAUGGGAAUACAAAACUCUGUGGAUCAAUGCUCAUCCACAAAUGUGGUUCAGUGGAGGCACCUCCGGCCACUAUUCUGUCAACAAAACAAACUGAUUACAAGGUGGCCUUCGCAAUUGCCUUUAGUGUGUUCUUUGGUGUAGGGGUGCUGUAUGAUCAGAUAGUCCUAUCGAGGUAUUUUGGCUAG
Molecule: ribosomal RNA, 1983 nt
Filed under: Triticum aestivum (bread wheat)
Lineage: Eukaryota; Viridiplantae; Streptophyta; Magnoliopsida; Poales; Poaceae
Description: partial small subunit ribosomal RNA
Source: RNAcentral